GUCGCUACUACCGAUUGAAUGGCUCAGUGAGGCCUUCGGACUGGCGCAAGGAGGUUGGCAACGACCACCCUGCGCCGGAAAGUUGGUCAAACUCGGUCAUUUAGAGGAAGUAAAAGUCGUAACAAGGUUUCC
Molecule: ribosomal RNA, 132 nt
Filed under: uncultured Ascomycota
Lineage: Eukaryota; Fungi; Ascomycota
Description: partial small subunit ribosomal RNA
Rfam family: Eukaryotic small subunit ribosomal RNA
Source: RNAcentral